Molecule: ribosomal RNA, 843 nt
Filed under: Streptomyces sp. K34(2011)
Lineage: Bacteria; Bacillati; Actinomycetota; Actinomycetes; Kitasatosporales; Streptomycetaceae
Description: bacterial SSU rRNA
Rfam family: Bacterial small subunit ribosomal RNA
Source: RNAcentral
UGCAAGUCGAACGAUGAAGCCCUUCGGGGUGGAUUAGUGGCGAACGGGUGAGUAACACGUGGGCAAUCUGCCCUUCACUCUGGGACAAGCCCUGGAAACGGGGUCUAAUACCGGAUAAUACUUCCACUCGCAUGGGUGGGGGUUGAAAGCUCCGGCGGUGAAGGAUGAGCCCGCGGCCUAUCAGCUUGUUGGUGAGGUAGUGGCUCACCAAGGCGACGACGGGUAGCCGGCCUGAGAGGGCGACCGGCCACACUGGGACUGAGACACGGCCCAGACUCCUACGGGAGGCAGCAGUGGGGAAUAUUGCACAAUGGGCGAAAGCCUGAUGCAGCGACGCCGCGUGAGGGAUGACGGCCUUCGGGUUGUAAACCUCUUUCAGCAGGGAAGAAGCGAAAGUGACGGUACCUGCAGAAGAAGCGCCGGCUAACUACGUGCCAGCAGCCGCGGUAAUACGUAGGGCGCAAGCGUUGUCCGGAAUUAUUGGGCGUAAAGAGCUCGUAGGCGGUCUGUCGCGUCGGAUGUGAAAGCCCGGGGCUUAACCCCGGGUCUGCAUUCGAUACGGGCAGACUAGAGUGUGGUAGGGGAGAUCGGAAUUCCUGGUGUAGCGGUGAAAUGCGCAGAUAUCAGGAGGAACACCGGUGGCGAAGGCGGAUCUCUGGGCCAUUACUGACGCUGAGGAGCGAAAGCGUGGGGAGCGAACAGGAUUAGAUACCCUGGUAGUCCACGCCGUAAACGGUGGGAACUAGGUGUUGGCGACAUUCCACGUCGUCGGUGCCGCAGCUAACGCAUUAAGUUCCCCGCCUGGGGAGUACGGCCGCAAGGCUAAAACUCAAAGGAAUUGAC